Molecule: long non-coding RNA, 929 nt
Filed under: Setaria italica (foxtail millet)
Lineage: Eukaryota; Viridiplantae; Streptophyta; Magnoliopsida; Poales; Poaceae
Description: long non-coding RNA (SITA_LNC002224)
Source: RNAcentral
CCCCCCCUUGCCGCAUAUGGACGAGCACCUUGUCCGCACGGCUGUCGACAGCACAUUCCGGGCCGGCUCCUCCGGUUCGGCCAUGGAGCCUUGACCCCCGCGGGGGCGCCUUCGUCGUGUAGGUGGGUAGGCCGCCGGUGGUCUGGUUCGUCUUGCUUGAUUCCCGGCAACGCUGCCGCAUGCACCGCCCGACCGCCGCCCCCGAACGAUUGCACAGAUGAAAUGAAAUAAUCGAGAGAGAGAAAAAGAGAGAGGAAGGCUAGGCCAAAUGGGCCUCCAUCAAUCGUCGAGAGGAAUGCUAGGCCCAAUGGGCCUCCAUCAAAUGGGGCCCACCCUAGGUUUUGCGGACCUAAAUUAUUUCAUUUCAUCAUCGUCAUCGGUCAGAUAAAGAACUGACAAAUUAUUUAGCAGUAGCAGCAGCAUCUGUAGUAGAAAUGUAAUUACGCAGGAAAAAACAUAAAUCAACCCAAGGCAACUGAUGAACCCUAAAUUAAAAUCACUGAGGCCCCGUUUGGAUCAUUGGAAUUGAAUUCCAUCAUAAUAAUCAUAAUUUAGACACAAAUUAAUUAAGCUAAUAUAAUUGUAUGUGGAAUAUAGUUGUAUAUUAUAGUUGGUGAUAUGGGAGAGAUACUUAUAUGCUGCACUUCUACUAUAGAAAAGCGAGUCUAAGAGCGUGCUAUAAGAAUUGAAUUCCAUUCUAAUAACCAUAAUCUAUAGAAUCAAUUUCCAUCUCCCACCCCAUGAAUUUAAGAUAGGCUUAUAUAUAAACUUUGGAAAGUUGUGGAAUGCCACAUUCCAACAUAAAUUAGCCUACUCCAUUAAAUAGAUUCCAAUUCCUUCAUACCAAACGGGACCUGAGAGAAGAGCCGUCGGUGGAGAAACCUCAUGAUGUGGUCCCGGCCCCACCGGAGAGAAACGAGCGGCGAGGC